This 468-nucleotide ribosomal RNA is filed under the name uncultured bacterium. Its description in RNAcentral is "partial 16S ribosomal RNA". It matches the Rfam family "Bacterial small subunit ribosomal RNA", at positions 28 to 507 of the family's 1533-position model. The record is from RNAcentral.
GACGAACGCUGGCGGCGUGCUUAACACAUGCAAGUCGAACGGAAAGGCCCUGCUUUUGUGGGGUGCUCGAGUGGCGAACGGGUGAGUAACCCGUGAGUAACCUGCCCUUGACUUUGGGAUAACUUCAGGAAACUGGGGCUAAUACCGGAUAGGAGCUCCUGCUGCAUGGUGGGGGUUGGAAAGUUUCGGCGGUUGGGGCUGGACGCGCGGGUUAUCAGCUUGUUGGUGGGGUCGUGGCUUACCAAGGCUUUGAAGGGUAGCCGGCCUGAGAGGGUGACCGGCCACAUGGGGACUGAGAGACGGCCCAGACGCCUACGGGAGGCAGUAGUGGGGAAUAUUGCACAAUGGGCGGAAGCCUGAUGCAGCGAUGCCGCGUGCGGGAUGACGGCCUUCGGGUUGUAAACCGCUUUCGCCGGUGACGAAGCGUGAGUGACGGUAAUGGGUAAAGAAGCACCGGCUAACUACGUG